AACCAGUGAUGUGAUGAUUCUGCCAAAUGAGACAAUGUGAUAUCACCUUUAAAACCAUUCCAAACGAAAACAAAAAAAGAUCAGAAUCAGACGUU
Mastomys coucha (southern multimammate mouse) is the source of this 95-nucleotide small nucleolar RNA. RefSeq annotates it as small nucleolar RNA SNORD47. The transcript has a single exon. Lineage: Eukaryota; Metazoa; Chordata; Mammalia; Rodentia; Muridae. The record is from RefSeq and is a predicted model, not a curated record.